RNAcentral lists this unclassified non-coding RNA (307 nucleotides) under plant metagenome. RNAcentral describes it as "partial contains 5.8S ribosomal RNA, internal transcribed spacer 2, and large subunit ribosomal RNA". The stretch from base 1 to 105 matches the Rfam family "5.8S ribosomal RNA", at positions 50 to 154 of the family's 154-position model. The record is from RNAcentral.
GAAAUGCGAUAAGUAGUGUGAAUUGCAGAAUUCAGUGAAUCAUCGAAUCUUUGAACGCACAUUGCGCCCUUUGGUAUUCCAAAGGGCAUGCCUGUUCGAGCGUCAUUUGUACCCUCAAGCUUUGCUUGGUGUUGGGCGUCUUGUCUCUAGCUUUGCUGGAGACUCGCCUUAAAGUAAUUGGCAGCCGGCCUACUGGUUUCGGAGCGCAGCACAAGUCGCACUCUCUAUCAGCAAAGGUCUAGCAUCCAUUAAGCCUUUUUUCAACUUUUGACCUCGGAUCAGGUAGGAAUACCCGCUGAACUUAAGC